This 23-nucleotide non-coding RNA is filed under the name Rattus norvegicus (Norway rat). Lineage: Eukaryota; Metazoa; Chordata; Mammalia; Rodentia; Muridae. The record is from RNAcentral.
UUAGAAAUCGUAGGCCACCGUGU